UUCAGACUCAGUCUGCAGGUGAAAUGCUGCCCUGCAAAAGUCUACUAAGUGAGCCCCAAUCCAAGAACAACUGCCUACUUUCAGAGAUCAGCUCCACUGGUGACCACACUAAGACCCUGACUGCGACCUCACGAAAGACCCAGAGCAGGAGCCACUCAGCCAAGCACUUCUGGACCUCUGGCCCACAGAAACUGGGAGUGAUAUUGAACCCUGGCUCUACCUUGUCUCUGCUUCUAAUGGUACAUUCUGCGCCAGGCAGAGUGCAGUGAGCCACGCUUGCCCUGGACCACACCCUUCACUAGCCAGCGAGUCACUAGCAACAUGACCUCAAGUGUGCCUUUUCCAGGACAGCUUCUGGACCUGUAGCUGUGGAUGGUGAAGGCCUUGAUAACAUCAUUUGGUACUUCUCUAUCCACUCUUGUUGCAGGCCCUGCAGAUGUUAGGUGCUGGUCUGGACACAGGUGGCAAUAAUUUCCGGUCUCUACUGCAGUCGUUAGAAUACCUCUGCCCCCUGGUGGCCACCUCUGGUAAGACCCAUUGUGGAGACUGGGAGGACGUGAUUGAAGCAGAGGCCUAUUUAUGGCUCAUUUUCAAGUAGUU
Molecule: long non-coding RNA, 600 nt
Organism: Heterocephalus glaber (naked mole-rat)
Lineage: Eukaryota; Metazoa; Chordata; Mammalia; Rodentia; Bathyergidae
Source: Ensembl